Molecule: long non-coding RNA, 604 nt
Filed under: Physcomitrium patens
Lineage: Eukaryota; Viridiplantae; Streptophyta; Bryopsida; Funariales; Funariaceae
Description: long non-coding RNA (PPAT_LNC002577)
Source: RNAcentral
UAGGAUUUGAUUUAGGAUUUAGGGUUUGGUUUAGGACUUAUUUAGGAUUUAGGAUUUGAUUAGAGUUUGAUUUAGGAUUUAGAGUUUAGAUUAGGAUUUAGUUUAGGAUUUGGUUAGGAUUUUAUUUAGGAUUUAGGAUUCAAUUAGGGUUUGAUUUAGGAUUUAGGAUUUAGUAAGGGUUUGGUUUAGGGUUUAGGGUUUUGAUAAGGAUUUGAUUUAGAUUUUAGGAUUUGGAUUAGGGUUUGGUUAGAAUUUGAUUUAAGAUUUAGAGUUUGAUUUAGGAUUUGGUUAGGAUUUGGUUUAGGAUUUGGUUGGGAUUUGGUUCAAGGUUGAUUUAGGGUUUGAUUUAGGGUUUAAGAUUUUAUUAGGAUUUAUGAUUCAAUUAUUUUUGGCCUAAAGUUUGAAUGAAGUUCAAUAGAAUUUUAACUAAAAUAAAAUUAUGAUUGAAUUGAGAUGUAUUUGAGUGAUAUUUGUGAUCCUUCUAAUAUUUUUUUAAGAAUUCUUAUUCUUUGUUUGAAAUUUAUGAGGUUUUUUUGAAUUUGAUUAAGCUUGCUUAGCAUUAUUAUGGUCUAAUUAGAAUAUUAUUAGUAUUCUAUUAGAAUUA